UGCAAGUCGAACGAUGAAGCCCUUCGGGGUGGAUUAGUGGCGAACGGGUGAGUAACACGUGGGCAAUCUGCCCUUCACUCUGGGACAAGCCCUGGAAACGGGGUCUAAUACCGGAUAACACCUUCCUCUGCAUAGGGGUUGGUUAAAAGCUCCGGCGGUGAAGGAUGAGCCCGCGGCCUAUCAGCUUGUUGGUGGGGUAAUGGCCUACCAAGGCGACGACGGGUAGCCGGCCUGAGAGGGCGACCGGCCACACUGGGACUGAGACACGGCCCAGACUCCUACGGGAGGCAGCAGUGGGGAAUAUUGCACAAUGGGCGAAAGCCUGAUGCAGCGACGCCGCGUGAGGGAUGACGGCCUUCGGGUUGUAAACCUCUUUCAGCAGGGAAGAAGCGAAAGUGACGGUACCUGCAGAAGAAGCGCCGGCUAACUACGUGCCAGCAGCCGCGGUAAUACGUAGGGCGCAAGCGUUGUCCGGAAUUAUUGGGCGUAAAGAGCUCGUAGGCGGCUUGUCACGUCGGAUGUGAAAGCCCGGGGCUUAACCCCGGGUCUGCAUUCGAUACGGGCUAGCUAGAGUGUGGUAGGGGAGAUCGGAAUUCCUGGUGUAGCGGUGAAAUGCGCAGAUAUCAGGAGGAACACCGGUGGCGAAGGCGGAUCUCUGGGCCAUUACUGACGCUGAGGAGCGAAAGCGUGGGGAGCGAACAGGAUUAGAUACCCUGGUAGUCCACGCCGUAAACGUUGGGAACUAGGUGUUGGCGACAUUCCACGUCGUCGGUGCCGCAGCUAACGCAUUAAGUUCCCCGCCUGGGGAGUACGGCCGCAAGGCU
RNAcentral lists this ribosomal RNA (824 nucleotides) under Streptomyces sp. 0112ALTP100,11. Its description in RNAcentral is "bacterial SSU rRNA". It matches the Rfam family "Bacterial small subunit ribosomal RNA", at positions 56 to 895 of the family's 1533-position model. Lineage: Bacteria; Bacillati; Actinomycetota; Actinomycetes; Kitasatosporales; Streptomycetaceae. The record is from RNAcentral.